AUGACGUGCAAAUUCAUGAAGCGUUCCAUAUUUUU
RNAcentral lists this small nuclear RNA (35 nucleotides) under Cervus elaphus hippelaphus. Lineage: Eukaryota; Metazoa; Chordata; Mammalia; Artiodactyla; Cervidae. The record is from RNAcentral.